AGACCCAGAGAGAGAGGCAGGGUCUGAUCCCAGCCUCAGUGGCAGCUGUUGAUCAGUACUUGCCUCUCUCUUUCUCGCCC
Non-coding RNA from Myotis davidii, 80 nucleotides. NCBI's taxonomy places the organism in Eukaryota, Metazoa, Chordata, Mammalia, Chiroptera, Vespertilionidae. The record is from Rfam.